Molecule: ribosomal RNA, 253 nt
Filed under: uncultured bacterium
Lineage: Bacteria
Description: partial 16S ribosomal RNA
Rfam family: Bacterial small subunit ribosomal RNA
Source: RNAcentral
UACGGAGGGUGCGAGCGUUGUUCGGAAUUAUUGGGCGUAAAGCGCGUGUAGGCGGCUCCUUAAGUCUGAUGUGAAAGCCCCGGGCUCAACCCUGGAAGUGCAUUGGAAACUGGGGAACUUGAAUACGGGAGAGGGUAGUGGAAUUCCUGGUGGAGGAGUGAAAUGCGUAGAUAGGAGGAGGAACACCGGUGGCGAAGGCGGCUACCUGGACCGAUAUUGACGCUGAGACGCGAGAGCGUGGGGAGCAAACAGG